Molecule: ribosomal RNA, 498 nt
Filed under: uncultured bacterium
Lineage: Bacteria
Description: partial 16S ribosomal RNA
Rfam family: Bacterial small subunit ribosomal RNA
Source: RNAcentral
AUUGAACGCUGGCGGCAUGCCUUACACAUGCAAGUCGAACGGUAACAGGUCUUCGGAUGCUGACGAGUGGCGAACGGGUGAGUAAUACAUCGGAACGCGCCUAGUAGUGGGGGAUAACUACUCGAAAGAGUGGCUAAUACCGCAUGAGAUCUACGGAUGAAAGCAGGGGAUCGCAAGACCUUGUGCUACUAGAGCGGCCGAUGGCAGAUUAGGUAGUUGGUGGGAUAAAAGCUUACCAAGCCGACGAUCUGUAGCUGGUCUGAGAGGACGAUCAGCCAGACUGGGACUGAGACACGGCCCAGACUCCUACGGGAGGCAGCAGUGGGGAAUUUUGGACAAUGGGCGAAAGCCUGAUUCAGCAAUGCCGCGUGCAGGAUGAAGGCCUUCGGGUUGUAAACUGCUUUUGUACGGAACGAAAAGCCCCGGGUUAAUACCCUGGGGUCAUGACGGUACCGUAAGAAUAAGCACCGGCUAACUACGUGCCAGCCGCCGCCGUAA